UCGCUACUACCGAUUGAAUGGCUUAGUGAGGCCUCUGGAUUGGGACUUAUGCCGCAAGGCACGGGUCAUGAGAAAUUGGUCAAACUUGGUCAUUUAGAGGAAGUAA
RNAcentral lists this ribosomal RNA (106 nucleotides) under uncultured eukaryote. Its description in RNAcentral is "partial small subunit ribosomal RNA". It matches the Rfam family "Eukaryotic small subunit ribosomal RNA", at positions 1676 to 1785 of the family's 1831-position model. The record is from RNAcentral.